CACGUAGGGUGCGAGCGUUGUCCGGAAUUAUUGGGCGUAAAGCGCUCGUAGGCGGUGUGUCGCGUCGGCCGUGAAAACCUGCAGCUUAACUGUGGGCUUGCGGUCGAUACGGGCAUCACUUGAGUUCGGCAGGGGAGACUGGAAUUCCUGGUGUAGCGGUGAAAUGCGCAGAUAUCAGGAGGAACACCCGUGGCGAAGGCGGCACUCUGGGACGGUACUGACGCUGAGACGCGAAAGCGUGGGGAGCGAACAGG
RNAcentral lists this ribosomal RNA (254 nucleotides) under uncultured bacterium. Its description in RNAcentral is "partial 16S ribosomal RNA". It matches the Rfam family "Bacterial small subunit ribosomal RNA", at positions 524 to 776 of the family's 1533-position model. The record is from RNAcentral.